AACGAACGCUGGCGGCAUGCCUAACACAUGCAAGUCGAACGAGACCUUCGGGUCUAGUGGCGCAAGGGUGCGUAACGCGUGGGAACCUGCCCUUAGGUUCGGAAUAACUCCCCGAAAGGGGUGCUAAUACCGGAUAAUGUCUUCGGACCAAAGAUUUAUCGCCUUUGGAUGGGCCCGCGUUGGAUUAGCUAGUUGGUAGGGUAAAAGCCUACCAAGGCGACGAUCCAUAGCUGGUCUGAGAGGAUGAUCAGCCACACUGGGACUGAGACACGGCCCAGACUCCUACGGGAGGCAGCAGUGGGGAAUAUUGGACAAUGGGCGAAAGCCUGAUCCAGCAAUGCCGCGUGAGUGAUGAAGGCCCUAGGGUUGUAAAGCUCUUUUACCCGGGAUGAUAAUGACAGUACCGGGAGAAUAAGCUCCGGCUAACUCCGUG
Molecule: ribosomal RNA, 433 nt
Filed under: uncultured bacterium
Lineage: Bacteria
Description: partial 16S ribosomal RNA
Rfam family: Bacterial small subunit ribosomal RNA
Source: RNAcentral